Molecule: long non-coding RNA, 1229 nt
Organism: Electrophorus electricus (electric eel)
Lineage: Eukaryota; Metazoa; Chordata; Actinopteri; Gymnotiformes; Gymnotidae
Source: RefSeq, a predicted model, not a curated record
UAAGGCGUCAUUUAUGACUAGCCUGUCAGCCAGAAUGUCUAUUCUACGGGAGAAGAACUUGAAGUGCGACUGGAUGGAAAACAUACGAGCCUUUCAGCUGACACAAUGCUUUUCCUGAAGAGGGACUCCGGUUUCAGAUCUUAUUUUGCAGCGGCAGUGCGGAGUUCCUCCCAUCCGCAGGUCCUCUCUGUCUCCUCCUUCAACACUGUCAUACUGAGGUCUUUGCUGAAUGAGCAAAUGAGGGGCAGGAUCAUAACAGGAUCAUAAAAGAGAUAGAAAUGGUGUAGGUGCUUGACAGCUCCACCAUGGCCCAAGACAACUACAUGUACAUGAAUCGAGCAGCAGCAGACUCCAGAUGCAACCAGAAAUACAUCUACAAUCAACUCCAGAACUUUCAUUUGAUCUCUUGUGCAAGAACAAAGGAUGCAGUGCAUACAGAGUUGGCCAAGAAACAACUGAGCAGCCCGCUGUCCAGUUACAUUUGGUUGACUAAAAUGGGAAUGCUCUGCAUAGAAAAGACUUUAAUCGUUCACCAGAUAUGGAUGUACAUACUCUCAAAUUCAAAGAGUCAUGCAGUUUAAUUUCACAGUCAUUAUUUCCUUUCAAAUGCAGUGUGCUGGAGUAGAGAACCUUAACAACAAAAAAUUGUGUCUCUGUCCAGUCAUUAAUGCACUACAGUGUGUACACAGCAGAAAUCAUGUUACCAUGCCAAAUUUUUUGAGCUUUGAAAUUCUUAUGAGUUUUAUUUAGGUCUCGCUGUAGUGGAUAUGUAUGUAAUGUAGAUGUUGUUAAGUUGUGGAGAGACAGAAAAAAUAAGUGAAAUAGUGUGUUAGAGGAGGAGAGUUGUACCAUGAAAGUCCAGAGGGAGGAGAAGUUGGAGGAGAACAGAGAGAAUAUAGGAAAAGGGUUUCAGAGAUCUGGAGAUCAGUCACUGAAUUUACUUGGUUAUAGUCUUAAGAAAUUAUGGUAACUGUGGACUACGUGAUUUGACAAGUGAGUACAUUUUUAAAUGUUCUCCAUAACCAUAUUUGUAGCCGAAUUAGUCUACAAAGAAAUAACCAAAUGCUUUACUGGUGAAUGUUCCUAAAUAAAGUAUUUAUGGUCUAUUAUCUGAUUGAAUCACAUUAAGUACAUUUUCAAGCUGAGGUUGAAUGCAAAAUAUACUUUAUUUCAUAGGCAAUAAAACAGUGCCUACAUCUUAGCUCCUUUGUAUCACAAUAUUCUAUGUA